GCUCCCUGAAGUCAGCGGCGGACGGGUGAGUAACACGUGGGCAACCUGCCUGUAAGACUGGGAUAACUUCGGGAAACCGGAGCUAAUACCGGAUAAUGCACAGCCUCUCAUGAGGCUAUGCUGAAAGAUGGUUUCGGCUAUCACUUACAGAUGGGCCCGCGGCGCAUUAGCUAGUUGGUGAGGUAACGGCUCACCAAGGCAACGAUGCGUAGCCGACCUGAGAGGGUGAUCGGCCACACUGGGACUGAGACACGGCCCAGACUCCUACGGGAGGCAGCAGUAGGGAAUCUUCCGCAAUGGACGAAAGUCUGACGGAGCAACGCCGCGUGAGUGAUGAAGGUUUUCGGAUCGUAAAACUCUGUUGUCAGGGAAGAACAAGUGCCGGAGUAACUGCCGGCACCUUGACGGUACCUGACCAGAAAGCCACGGCUAACUACGUGCCAGCAGCCGCGGUAAUACGUAGGUGGCAAGCGUUGUCCGGAAUUAUUGGGCGUAAAGCGCGCGCAGGCGGUCUCUUAAGUCUGAUGUGAAAGCCCACGGCUCAACCGUGGAGGGUCAUUGGAAACUGGGGGACUUGAGUGCAGAAGAGGAAAGUGGAA
RNAcentral lists this ribosomal RNA (599 nucleotides) under Bacillus infantis. RNAcentral's name for it is "bacterial SSU rRNA". It matches the Rfam family "Bacterial small subunit ribosomal RNA", at positions 81 to 666 of the family's 1533-position model. Lineage: Bacteria; Bacillati; Bacillota; Bacilli; Caryophanales; Bacillaceae. The record is from RNAcentral.